AAUAGAUACCCGGGUAGUCCACGCCGUAAACGAUGAGUGCUAAGUGUUAGAGGGUUUCCGCCCUUUAGUGCUGCAGCAAACGCAUUAAGCACUCCGCCUGGGGAGUACGGUCGCAAGACUGAAACUCAAAGGAAUUGACGGGGGCCCGCACAAGCGGUGGAGCAUGUGGUUUAAUUCGAAGCAACGCGAAGAACCUUACCAGGUCUUGACAUCCUUCGCUACUUCUAGAGAUAGAAGGUUCCCCUUCGGGGGACGGAGUGACAGGUGGUGCAUGGUUGUCGUCAGCUCGUGUCGUGAGAUGUUGGGUUAAGUCCCGCAACGAGCGCAACCCUUGACCUUAGUUGCCAGCAUUCAGUUGGGCACUCUAAGGUGACUGCCGGUGACAAACCGGAGGAAGGUGGGGAUGACGUCAAAGUCAUCAUGCCCCUUAUGACCUGGGCUACACACGUGCUACAAUGGAUGGUACAAAGGGCUGCAAGACUGCGAAGUCAAGCCAAUCCCAUAAAACCAUUCUCAGUUCGGAUUGCAGGCUG
This 533-nucleotide ribosomal RNA is filed under the name uncultured bacterium. RNAcentral's name for it is "bacterial SSU rRNA". It matches the Rfam family "Bacterial small subunit ribosomal RNA", at positions 777 to 1307 of the family's 1533-position model. The record is from RNAcentral.